RNAcentral lists this long non-coding RNA (1775 nucleotides) under Capsella rubella. RNAcentral describes it as "long non-coding RNA (CRUB_LNC002110)". Lineage: Eukaryota; Viridiplantae; Streptophyta; Magnoliopsida; Brassicales; Brassicaceae. The record is from RNAcentral.
UUCGUCUUCUACCCGAGCAAGCAUGCUUUGUCAGAUUUCAAUAAUCAGUUUCAUAGUUCAUACCUUUUCGUUUCGUAUUCUACUGCUUAUUCCGAGAGGAGAAGCAUUAUAUAAACCCCCAAUUUGGCCAUGGAAAGAACCGUAAUUUUCAACCCUCCAUCGUCUCCUCCAUCUUCUCCUCUUUCACUGCUCUCUGCAAUUCAAUCAAAGGUUUGUCCCUAAUCUUUCUAAAUUCUGAAAUUUGAUUAAAUUAAGUAUUUGAAUCUUGUUCCACCUCACGUUCACAAACCAAUUUGAUUAAAUUAAGACUACGGUUGUUUGUUAAUAGUGGAAUUCAUGUGAAAUGUGAAGUUUCUUAUACGAUUGUUACUUUACAUAGAAUCUAUUUGCUUGAUCAUGGUAACUGUUAAGUUAGAUAUUGUUUAUCUUAAGUUAGAUUGUCCUUAACUUGUUAGCUUAACUUUAUGUGCAUAUAUAUGUUCUUCUCUUAACAUGGAUUGGUAAUGUGUACAAAUGAUAUUGUUUAUCUUAGAUAUAUUUUAGUAAUGUCUACGACCGAUUAUCUUAAGUUAGGUUUUCAUUAACUUGUUAGCUUAACUUUAUGUGCAUAUAUAUGUUCUUCUCUUAGUUACUGAUUUGUUUCGUUUAUGUGUGUGUUUAGAUGGGUUCUUCACCAUUUCCAGAUGAACACGAGUUCGAAGAAGAGAUGACUACGAAUGAAGUUGAAAGUGGGGGAAAGAGGAAGGACGCCCCAGAAUCAAGUGCAGCUAAUUCAAGGCCAGCUAAAGAGCUCAAAGUCGUCCUUCCAAGAUCUCCUGUGUGGGAACACUUCACGAGGACUAAAGAAAACAGAAACAAGUGCUUCUGCCAUUACUGCAAGAAGAUUUACGGCUGCAAUUCUAAGUCAGGGACGUCUAAUUUGACAAAGCAUUUGGCAUGUCUGACUCAUUACAUGAUUGAGGUCAUGUCUGACUCAUUACAUGAUUGAGGUCCUCAUGUGUUGUGAGCAAUGGAUGAGGCAAGACAUUAAGAGUGGUGAACAGACAGUGAUCACAAGUGCUCAACUACUCUCAGAUUUUGAAAUGUUUGAUCAACUUGAGAAAGGUAAUCUUUAACAAAUUUUGAUACUCAUAAGUCAUAAUACUUUGAUUUAUAAUUCUGUUUGUAAUGUAAUUUUAUAACUGUUUUGCAGAGUUUGGUAUUGGAGAUGAAAAUACUCAUGAGCCUUAGCUAAUCUCAUAAAAGCAAAGGUAACUAAUCUCUUCUAUUUGUUAAUGAUCAACAAGUUUUCUCUUAUUUGAUAUUUGUUACAAUGUUAAUAGUAGUUCUCUGUUGUUUGAUGUUUUAAAGGUAUGUUUGUAUUGGCCUUCUUGUGUGGUGUUUUCUUAAGUCCUGGAAUGCGGCAAUAGUAAAGGUAUUGAAACUUCAUGUCUUUACGUGUUUGAUUUGCUGAAUGAUUCAUGUUCAUGACUGAAGAUCGUAUGUGUUGUUUGCUUUGCUCAAUGAUUCAAGUUAUGACUGAACAUCGUAUUAUUUGUUUCACAGGGACAAGGAGAAGGAGUGACCUUUUUCAUCGUGGAUUGCUUCUUCAUUGUUCCAAAUUUUUAUCGGCUACUUUAGAGUUAUUAUGCUCAUUUGAACUUGUUCAAUCUUUUGUUAUGCUUUCCUGAGUUGUUGAACUUUGUAUUAGUUGUGAGAUUGUUAAACUUUUGUUUUGGUUUAAAUCGGUUUGAUCUUGUUUUGGUUAUUUAAUCGGUUAUUUAUGAUAUUUCGUC